This 71-nucleotide transfer RNA is filed under the name Strongylocentrotus purpuratus (purple sea urchin). It matches the Rfam family "tRNA". From Rfam's summary of the family: Transfer RNA (tRNA) molecules are approximately 80 nucleotides in length. Their secondary structure includes four short double-helical elements and three loops (D, anti-codon, and T loops). Lineage: Eukaryota; Metazoa; Echinodermata; Echinoidea; Camarodonta; Strongylocentrotidae. The record is from Rfam by way of RNAcentral.
GCGCGAUAGCUCAGUCGGUAGAGCUGUGGUCUCGUAAUCCAGUGACCCGGGUUCGAAACCAAGUCGAUGCA